This 323-nucleotide ribosomal RNA is filed under the name uncultured eukaryote. RNAcentral's name for it is "partial 18S ribosomal RNA". It matches the Rfam family "Eukaryotic small subunit ribosomal RNA", at positions 1470 to 1796 of the family's 1831-position model. The record is from RNAcentral.
CCCUUAGAUGUUCUGGGCCGCACGCGUGCUACACUGAGUGGAUCAGCGGGUCAGGUUGCGCGAAAGUGUUUCCUAAUCUUUAAAUCCGCUCGUGAUGGGGAUUGACGGUUGCAAUUUUCCGUCAUGAACGAGGAAUACCUUGUAAGCGCGGGUCAUCAUCCCGCGCUGAAUACGUCCCUGCCCUUUGUACACACCGCCCGUCGCUCCUACCGAUUGAAUGUGUUGGUGAGGAGCUCGGAUUGGCAGCAGUUGGUGGUUCGCCACCGGCUAUUGCUGAGAAGUCCUCCAAACCGCCCCAUUUAGAGGAAGGAGAAGUCGUAACA